This 73-nucleotide transfer RNA is filed under the name Araneus ventricosus. Its description in RNAcentral is "tRNA-Gly". Lineage: Eukaryota; Metazoa; Arthropoda; Arachnida; Araneae; Araneidae. The record is from RNAcentral.
UCCUCCGGUAUAGUGGUUAGUGCGCUUGUCUUCCAACUCUAUGAACGCGGGUUCGAUCCCCCGCUCGGAGGAA